CGGAGUUAGCCGGUGCUUAUUCCUGAGGUACCGUCAGAAUUCUUCCCUCAGAAAAGGGCUUUACAACCUUUCGGCCUUCAUCGCCCACGCGGUAUUGCUUCGUCAGGGUUUCCCCCAUUGCGAAAGAUUCUUU
RNAcentral lists this ribosomal RNA (133 nucleotides) under uncultured bacterium. Its description in RNAcentral is "partial 16S ribosomal RNA". The record is from RNAcentral.